GACGAACGCUGGCGGCGUGCUUAACACAUGCAAGUCGAACGGAAAGGCCCUGCAUUUGUGGGGUGCUCGAGUGGCGAACGGGUGAGUAACACGUGAGUAACCUGCCCUUGACUUUGGGAUAACUUCAGGAAACUGGGGCUAAUACCGGAUAGGAGCUCCUGCUGCAUGGUGGGGGUUGGAAAGUUUCGGCGGUUGGGGAUGGACUCGCGGCUUAUCAGCUUGUUGGUGGGGUAGUGGCUUACCAAGGCUUUGACGGGUAGCCGGCCUGAGAGGGUGACCGGCCACAUUGGGACUGAGAUACGGCCCAGACUCCUACGGGAGGCAGCAGUGGGGAAUAUUGCACAAUGGGCGGAAGCGUGAUGCAGAAACGCCGCGUGCGGGAUGACGGCCUUCGGGUUGUAAACCGCUUUCGCCUGUGACGAAGCGUGAGUGAAGGUAAUGGGUAAAGAAGCACCGGCUAAAUACGUG
This 468-nucleotide ribosomal RNA is filed under the name uncultured bacterium. RNAcentral describes it as "partial 16S ribosomal RNA". It matches the Rfam family "Bacterial small subunit ribosomal RNA", at positions 28 to 507 of the family's 1533-position model. The record is from RNAcentral.